Molecule: ribosomal RNA, 442 nt
Filed under: uncultured bacterium
Lineage: Bacteria
Description: partial 16S ribosomal RNA
Rfam family: Bacterial small subunit ribosomal RNA
Source: RNAcentral
CCUACGGGUGGCAGCAGUGGGGAAUAUUGGGCAAUGGGCGCAAGCCUGACCCAGCAACGCCGCGUGAAGGAAGAAGGCUUUCGGGUUGUAAACUUCUUUUGUCAGGGAAGAGUAGAAGACGGUACCUGACGAAUAAGCCACGGCUAACUACGUGCCAGCAGCCGCGGUAAUACGUAGGUGGCAAGCGUUGUGCGGAUUUACUGGGUGUAAAGGGCGUGUAGCCGGGUUGACAAGUCAGGUGUGAAAUCCUGCGGCUUAACCGCAGAACUGCAGUUGAAACUGUUGAUCUUGAGUACUGGAGAGGCAGGUGGAAUUCCUAGUGUAGCGGUGAAAUGCGUAGAUAUUAGGAGGAACACCAGUGGCGAAGGCGGUCUGCUGGACAGCAACUGACGGUGAGGCGCGAAAGCGUGGGGAGCAAACAGGAUUAGAUACCCGUGUAGUC